CCUUAAAGAAGAAAAACAGCUGUUGGUGAUGUCACUUCCCCUUCCCCUGGGUAAGGACGGUCGAAUUGGGCAAAUGCUGCUGAAGCUCUAGUUCACUAACUGCAUAGAGAUCUAACAUUUGACCCCAUGAAAGGUUAAGGAUUAGUUGCUAGUGUUAGUACUUAGAGGCUACAAUUUAAUGUUUUCGGAAUCAGCCCUAACCCGGAUGCACUGUGCGUCUGCAGUCGGCUGUCAAAACUGCGUCCGUCUGGCUCAUCUCGAACGAGCCUAUUUACUUCACAGGGGUGUGGUCAUGUGAUCAAAUCAGGUGCACCGCGGCCCACUUCCUCUUCCUGUGCACAUGCUGGCUGAAGAUAAGUUCUGACUGAAUUAACUUGCACAAUAAAUUGUCUUCUUAAGGGUCCUAACAGUCCAGUUGUGAAGUGACUCCAAAGGACGUCACGGGCGAAGGACUAGACGAUCACUCGAACGCGUUUGCUGCCACACCGGAUUUUAAUGACUUAUUCUGAGGUUCUGGAGGUGCACAGAUGCCAUGCCCUCCCCCCCCCUCCCCCAGAGAGUCCGGACUGAAGAGCAGCCUGUUUAUCAGCGCAAACCGAGUGGAACAACCUGCUGAAAGCCGCCGUCGUCACAGAGGAGCCCAUCGUUUGUCCUGUCACAAACCCACUUUUCGGAACCUCCGGGCCCCUCUGUCACGGUCUACUUCCUGACAGCUUAUAGAGAUCUGCCGGAUGCGCCCUCGGCGAGUCCGCCCUGUGGCUCUUAUCACAGGUGGAGGAAACCUUUGCAAAUGUGUUUAUGCUAAGCCUGACUGAUAUC
Molecule: long non-coding RNA, 819 nt
Filed under: Neogobius melanostomus (round goby)
Lineage: Eukaryota; Metazoa; Chordata; Actinopteri; Gobiiformes; Gobiidae
Description: lncRNA (ENSNMLG00000003056.1)
Source: RNAcentral